Molecule: long non-coding RNA, 226 nt
Filed under: Citrus sinensis (sweet orange)
Lineage: Eukaryota; Viridiplantae; Streptophyta; Magnoliopsida; Sapindales; Rutaceae
Description: long non-coding RNA (CSIN_LNC003828)
Source: RNAcentral
GGGCUGCUAGAUACAUGGUAAAUCAACGACACGAUUAAUUUAAACUAUAACAUAAUAUAAAUGAUGAGUUUAAAGUAAAAAUUAAUUUGGGAUUUGCCCAUUUGCCAACCUAAACUUUUUUUUUAAGUUUAAAACAAAAUCUUACAAGAUCAAUAUAUUAUUAACUUAGUAUACUAUUUAUAGGAGAUUAACAUAGUAUAUUGUUAAGAUGAACAAUUAUAUUUUU